GUUUAAAGAAGAUCCGCCUCUGGGGUUUUAUAUUGCUCUGGUAUUCAUGCCAAAGACACACCAGCCCUCAGUCACUGGGAGAAGAACCUCUCAUACCCUCGGUGCUCCAGUCCCCAGCUCACUCGGCCACACACACCAUGUGUGAAGAGGAGACCACCGCGCUCGUGUGUGACAAUGGCUCUGGUCUGUGCAAGGCAGGCUUCGCAGGAGAUGAUGCCCCCCGGGCCGUCUUCCCCUCCAUCGUGGGCCGCCCUCGCCACCAGGGUGUGAUGGUGGGAAUGGGCCAGAAAGACAGCUAUGUGGGGGAUGAAGCUCAGAGUAAGCGAGGGAUCCUAACUCUCAAAUACCCCAUUGAACACGGCAUCAUCACCAACUGGGAUGACAUGGAGAAGGUAUCUGUAGACUUCCCCUUAAUGAGCCUGCUUUAAUGAUCACCCAUCGUCAUGACCCUCGUAUCCAUAGGACACUGUGCUCUGUCAACUCUCCCUCUAAAAUGCUUCUCACUUCUGUCUUUCCUUUCUUUUCAGCCCCACGACCAUUUCUCCAACCUAGGCUGCCAACAUCUCUCCCUGGACUAUUGCAAUGGCUUCCUGGCUGAUUUCUUGGUCUCUUGCCCUCAUUCACCGAAUUAAUUCUCU
Molecule: small RNA, 638 nt
Filed under: Pongo abelii (Sumatran orangutan)
Lineage: Eukaryota; Metazoa; Chordata; Mammalia; Primates; Hominidae
Description: retained intron
Source: RNAcentral